AGUUCGGAUUNAAGGCUGAAAUUCGCCUUCAUGAAGCUGGAAUUGCUAGUAAUCGCGGAUCAGCAUGCCGCGGUGAAUACGUUCCCGGGCCUUGUACACACCGCCCGUCACACCAUGGGAGCCGGUAAUACCCGAAGUCAGUAGUCUAACCGCAAGGGGGACGCUGCCGAAGGUAGGAUUGGCGACUGGGGUGAAGUCGUAACAAGGUAAC
RNAcentral lists this ribosomal RNA (211 nucleotides) under uncultured bacterium. Its description in RNAcentral is "partial 16S ribosomal RNA". It matches the Rfam family "Bacterial small subunit ribosomal RNA", at positions 1290 to 1500 of the family's 1533-position model. The record is from RNAcentral.